GGGUUCAUCGCAUACAGAAAGGAUACCCUUAAGCUCCUUCUCUGCACUUUCUCUGAAAGCAGCAUUCACCUCUUCAGCGAAGGUCUUCUUUGAGACCUGGACAACUAAGUCAACGACCGAGACAUUUGGUGUUGGUACACGCAAGGCAAUGCCAUUUAGUUUGCCUUUGAGAGUAGGGAGUACAAGGGCCACAGCCUUCGCUGCACCAGUUGAAGUCGGAACAAUGUUGAGAGCUGCAGCUCUAGCACGCCUGAGGUCGCGGUGGCUAGCAUCGAGUAAUCGUUGGUCACCAGUAUAUGAAUGAGUUGUAGUCAUUGUGCCCUUGAUUAUACCUGCCAUAUAUUAUGUUAGUUCUGUAUUAUCGCAUGCCUACAUGUUCUGUUCGUAACUAUUAAACUGUCAGAAGGUUGCCUAGUCUUGGAAUCUUUGACUAGGCACUAGGUGUAUAACUAGAAAAGCGCCAUUCUUCUAAAUAGGCAUAUCAGUACUAUAUCUACUUAACAUACGUACGUACCACUUGAUUCGAACCAUUUUAAGAAGUGCGAAUUAAAAACCGAGGCAAACUAAGAAAUUUGUAGGCACGGGGACAAUCUGGUCAAAGGAGUUACCAAAUUUCUGGUCCAGAACCUUGACAAAGGGAGCAAGGCAAUUGGUGGUGCAAGAAGCAUUACUGAUUAUGGGCUCAUCUGGGUUGUAUAUGUCAGCAUUAACUCCGACAACAUAGGUCGGGAUAUCACCCUUUCCUGGGGCAGUUAUGAGCACUUUCUUCGCUCCUGCUUGGAUGUGCUUUCCUG
This 794-nucleotide long non-coding RNA is filed under the name Gossypium raimondii (Peruvian cotton). RNAcentral's name for it is "long non-coding RNA (GRAI_LNC000843)". The record is from RNAcentral. Lineage: Eukaryota; Viridiplantae; Streptophyta; Magnoliopsida; Malvales; Malvaceae.